AGAUUGAACGCUGGCGGCAUGCCUUACACAUGCAAGUCGAACGGCAGCACGGGAGCAAUCCUGGUGGCGAGUGGCGAACGGGUGAGUAAUAUAUCGGAACGUGCCCAGUCGUGGGGGAUAACGUAGAGAAAUUUACGCUAAUACCGCAUACGAUCCAAGGAUGAAAGCGGGGGACCGUAAGGCCUCGCGCGACUGGAGCGGCUGAUAUCAGAUUAGCUUGUUGGUGAGGUAAAAGCUCACCAAGGCGACGAUCUGUAGCUGGUUUGAGAGAACGACCAGCCACACUGGGACUGAGACACGGCCCAGACUCCUACGGGAGGCAGCAGUGGGGAAUUUUGGACAAGU
Molecule: ribosomal RNA, 345 nt
Filed under: uncultured soil bacterium
Lineage: Bacteria
Description: bacterial SSU rRNA
Rfam family: Bacterial small subunit ribosomal RNA
Source: RNAcentral